Molecule: unclassified non-coding RNA, 867 nt
Filed under: Gigantopelta aegis
Lineage: Eukaryota; Metazoa; Mollusca; Gastropoda; Neomphalida; Peltospiridae
Description: uncharacterized LOC121372256, transcript variant X2
Source: RNAcentral
GUAGACUGUCCGAUGAACUGAUCGCUAGCACAUGCGAAGGAAAACAGCAUAAAGCUGUUUAGUAUAUAUGUGCGGCUGGUACCAUCUGGAGUAGCGUCGACAGUGAAUACAUCCCCGAAGAGGCCGUCCCCGAAGUGACCGUUACGACUGCUCCGCCACAAGACUGCUCGUCGCCCGGAGUGACCUAUCUUCCUGGAGCAACGUGCAAAGAGUUUAUCCAGUGUAACGCUGGGCAACCGGUGACGAAGCGUUGUGGGAUUGCAACAAAGUGGGACCAGUCCUUGCUGGCGUGCGUCGGUGGGACAUGCUAGUCUCUGCCGGUUUAGAGACUGUCGAAACAUAAUGAAAACACAAGGUGUACAUUGACGGGAUUCGAACUGGAUGCGGCGCGUGCAUGUGAUCUGGCUAAAAAAAAAAAACGAAUUGGAAAUACAUUAUUUUCAGUGAGAGCAUCUAGACUGGAUACGUGCAAUGCGUGCGUCUGCAAAACGCAUGCGGUCAGCCAGCAAUGAAAUAACGGUAUAUUGUGUAUAUGCUCCAAACUCGAAUCGCAGACGUAACAAUCGCAACAGUCUAUACGAGUCUUUAAACAAUAAAGCUGAAAUCACCUGUUUUGAGUCAUGUACGAUAUUAAUCCACUAUUGGAUUAGCAGCUGUUUUGUUUGUUAUCGUUAGGGUCUGAGUUAAAGUUGGGAAGUAUACUUAGUGUAGAGUAACUAUCUGAAGGAAUACUGCUUUUAUAAUUCUUUAUUAUAUUAUAUUAAUAUUAUAUUAAUAUUAUAUUAUAUUAAUAUUAUAUUAUAUUAUAUUAUAUUAUAUUAUAUUAUAUUAUAUUAUAUUAUAUUAUAUUAUAUUAUAUUAUACGUG